This 496-nucleotide ribosomal RNA is filed under the name uncultured bacterium. RNAcentral describes it as "partial 16S ribosomal RNA". It matches the Rfam family "Bacterial small subunit ribosomal RNA", at positions 29 to 507 of the family's 1533-position model. The record is from RNAcentral.
AUGAACGCUGGCGGCGUGCCUAAUACAUGCAAGUCGAGCGAACAGACGAGGAGCUUGCUCCUCUGACGUUAGCGGCGGACGGGUGAGUAACACGUGGAUAACCUACCUAUAAGACUGGGAUAACUUCGGGAAACCGGAGCUAAUACCGGAUAAUAUAUUGAACCGCAUGGUUCAAUAGUGAAAGACGGUUUUGCUGUCACUUAUAGAUGGAUCCGCGCCGCAUUAGCUAGUUGGUAAGGUAACGGCUUACCAAGGCGACGAUGCGUAGCCGACCUGAGAGGGUGACCGGCCACACUGGAACUGAGACACGGUCCAGACUCCUACGGGAGGCAGCAGUAGGGAAUCUUCCGCAAUGGGCGAAAGCCUGACGGAGCAACGCCGCGUGAGUGAUGAAGGUCUUCGGAUCGUAAAACUCUGUUAUUAGGGAAGAACAAAUGUGUAAGUAACUAUGCACGUCUUGACGGUACCUAAUCAGAAAGCCACGGCUAACUACGUG